AACGAACGCUGGCGGCAUGCCUAACACAUGCAAGUCGAACGAUACCUUCGGGUCUAGUGGCGCACGGGUGCGUAACGCGUGGGAAUCUGCCCUUGGGUUCGGAAUAACAUUUGGAAACGACUGCUAAUACCGGAUGAUGACGUAAGUCCAAAGAUUUAUCGCCCAAGGAUGAGCCCGCUUAGGAUUAGCUAGUUGGUGAGGUAAAGGCUCACCAAGGCGACGAUCCUUAGCUGGUCUGAGAGGAUGAUCAGCCACACUGGGACUGAGACACGGCCCAGACUCGUAGGGGAGGAAGAAGGGGGGAAUAUGGGACAACGGGUGAAAGACGGAGCAAGUAAGGCCGCGUAAGUGAGGAAGGAGUUAGGGUUGUAAAGCUGUUUUGAAAGGGAUGAAAAUGACAGUACCGGGAGAAUAAGCGACGGCUAACUCCGUG
RNAcentral lists this ribosomal RNA (433 nucleotides) under uncultured bacterium. Its description in RNAcentral is "partial 16S ribosomal RNA". It matches the Rfam family "Bacterial small subunit ribosomal RNA", at positions 29 to 507 of the family's 1533-position model. The record is from RNAcentral.